RNAcentral lists this ribosomal RNA (253 nucleotides) under uncultured bacterium. RNAcentral's name for it is "partial 16S ribosomal RNA". It matches the Rfam family "Bacterial small subunit ribosomal RNA", at positions 524 to 776 of the family's 1533-position model. The record is from RNAcentral.
UACGUAGGGGGCAAGCGUUGUCCGGAUUUACUGGGCGUAAAGAGCGCGUAGGCGGAAGCUUAAGUGUGGCCUGAAAGCCCCCGGCUCAACCGGGGAAGGUGGCUGCAAACUGGGCUUCUUGAGGGGGAUAGGGGAAAGUGGAAUUCCGGGUGUAGCGGUGAAAUGUGUAGAGAUCCGGAGGAACACCAGUGGCGAAGGCGGCUUUCUGGGUCCGCCCUGACGCUGAGGCGCGAAAGCGUGGGGAGCGAACGGG